RNAcentral lists this ribosomal RNA (844 nucleotides) under uncultured archaeon. RNAcentral's name for it is "bacterial SSU rRNA". It matches the Rfam family "Archaeal small subunit ribosomal RNA", at positions 415 to 1259 of the family's 1478-position model. The record is from RNAcentral.
AGUUGUAGAAUCACUGGUGAAUAAGGGGUGGGCAAGUUCUGGUGUCAGCCGCCGCGGUAAAACCAGCACCUCGAGUGGUCAGGAGGUUUAUUGGGCCUAAAGCAUCCGUAGCCGGUUGCAUAAGUUUUCGGUUAAAUCUAUGCGCUUAACGUAUAGGCCGCCGAAAAUACUGUGCAGCUAGGGAGUGGGAGAGGUACACGGUACUCGAUAGGAAGGGGUAAAAUCCUUUGAUCUAUUGAUGACCACCUGUGGCGAAGGCGGUGUACCAGAACACGUUCGACGGUGAGGGAUGAAAGCUGGGGGAGCAAACCGGAUUAGAUACCCGGGUAGUCCCAGCUGUAAACGAUGCAGACUCGGUGAUGCAUUGGCUUGUGGCCAAUGCAGUGCCGCAGGGAAGCCGUUAAGUCUGCCGCCUGGGAAGUACGUACGCAAGUAUGAAACUUAAAGGAAUUGGCGGGGGAGCACCACAAGGGGUGAAGCCUGCGGUUCAAUUGGAGUCAACGCCAGAAAUCUUACCUGGGGAGACAGCAGAAUGAAGGUCAAGCUGAAGACUUUACCAGACACGCUGAGAGGUGGUGCAUGGCCGUCGCCAGCUCGUGCCGUGAGAUGUCCUGUUAAGUCAGGUAACGAGCGAGACCCCUGCGUCUAGUUGCUACCAUUACUCUCUGGAGCAGUGGAGCGAAUUAGACGGACCGCCACAGUUAAUGUGGAGGAAGGAAGGGGCCACGGCAGGUCAGUAUGCCCCGAAACCCUAGGGCUACACGCGGGCUGCAAUGGUAUUGACAUGUGUUCCGAAUCCGAAAGGAGGAGGCAAUCAUCAAACAUAUCUCAGUUAUGACUGAGG